Chelmon rostratus (copperband butterflyfish) is the source of this 68-nucleotide small nucleolar RNA. RefSeq annotates it as small nucleolar RNA U54. The transcript has a single exon. NCBI's taxonomy places the organism in Eukaryota, Metazoa, Chordata, Actinopteri, Chaetodontiformes, Chaetodontidae. The record is from RefSeq and is a predicted model, not a curated record.
UGAGCUAUGAGGAUAAAAAUCCAACCCGAUAAACCUUGACGACUGUAAUACGCUAUUCUGAGCCAUGG